This 429-nucleotide ribosomal RNA is filed under the name Gemmatimonadota bacterium. Its description in RNAcentral is "Gemmatimonadetes bacterium partial 16S ribosomal RNA". It matches the Rfam family "Bacterial small subunit ribosomal RNA", at positions 355 to 776 of the family's 1533-position model. Lineage: Bacteria; Pseudomonadati; Gemmatimonadota. The record is from RNAcentral.
UAGGGAAUCUUCGGCAAUGGACGAAAGUCUGACCGAGCAACGCCGCGUGAGUGAAGAAGGUUUUCGGAUCGUAAAACUCUGUUGUUAGAGAAGAACAAGGACGUUAGUAACUGAACGUCCCCUGACGGUAUCUAACUAGAAAGCCACGGCUAACUACGUGCCAGCAGCCGCGGUAAUACGUAGGUGGCAAGCGUUGUCCGGAUUUAUUGGGCGUAAAGCGAGCGCAGGCGGUUUCUUAAGUCUGAUGUGAAAGCCCCCGGCUCAACCGGGGAGGGUCAUUGGAAACUGGGAGGCUUGAGUGCAGAAGAGGAGAGUGGAAUUCCAUGUGUAGCGGUGAAAUGCGUAGAUAUAGGGAGGAACACCAGUGGCGAAGGCGGCUCUCUGGUCUGUAGCUGACGCUGAGGCUAGAAAGCGUGGGGAGCAAACAGG